UACGUAGGCAGCGAGCGUUGUUCGGAGUUACUGGGCGUAAAGGGUGUGUAGGCGGUUGUUUAAGUUUGGUGUGAAAUCUCCCGGCUCAACUGGGAGGGUGCGCCGAAUACUGAAUGACUUCGAGUGCGGGAGAGGAAAGUGGAAUUCCUGGUGUAGCGGUGGAAUGCGCAGAUAUCAGGAGGAACACCUAUAGCGAAGGCAGCUUGCUGGGACGUUACUGACGCUAAGGCGCGAAAGCGUGGGGAGCAAACAGG
Molecule: ribosomal RNA, 254 nt
Filed under: uncultured bacterium
Lineage: Bacteria
Description: partial 16S ribosomal RNA
Rfam family: Bacterial small subunit ribosomal RNA
Source: RNAcentral